UAAUAGCACCAAGUCAUUGGUGCUACCAAGUUUUUGGUCAUUGGAUUAAGAGAUGUGCGGUUAGAAUGAUGUGGGCCCCCUAUGGUUGAGUGAGUGGUUGGUUGAAUAGUAUGAUCUAACGGGUGAAAAUAAUCAAAAGGGUAGAUCUAACGGCGGAAAACUUAGAAGCAUCAAGUGCUUCGUGCUAUUAAUAGCAUAGUAAGCGGACUCUAUAGAUAUAUCUUUGGAAUGCGGAGACCUCUUCUCUUUUUUUACGUGCACGCGCACAAGAAUACAAAAACAAACACAAAAGAGGCACUUGAGUGUUGAUUGAUCUAAUCUAACAACUAUACUAAUUCUUGCACGCAUGGCGAGUUCACACAUAUAAAAACACGAAAAAUACUUCAUGCAUGUACACUCAGGCAGUGGACUCUUUUAAAAUAAUUUUUUUAAAAAAAUUAUAAUUUAUCAAAUAAUUCUAAUCAAAAUUAUAUUUAGCGAAAUAAUUCUUUUUUGUCCAACUCAGUGUCAGGAUGGAAGAAUGGUUAGAAAAUGAUGAAUCAUUUACCGUUUUUAAAUUUUAUUAGAAGACGAUGUAUCGCUUUCCACUUUUUUUUUAGAAAAAAAAUGGUAAACGAUUCACACACACACACACACACACAAAUCACAUACGAUAAUAACCCAAAAAUAAAAAAUAAUUCAUCACUUUCUAAACACUGGGAACGAGUCACUUCCUGUUUCAUUUUUGUCCAACAUGCCACUG
Molecule: long non-coding RNA, 742 nt
Filed under: Ananas comosus (pineapple)
Lineage: Eukaryota; Viridiplantae; Streptophyta; Magnoliopsida; Poales; Bromeliaceae
Description: long non-coding RNA (ACOM_LNC015358)
Source: RNAcentral